Molecule: ribosomal RNA, 439 nt
Filed under: uncultured bacterium
Lineage: Bacteria
Description: bacterial SSU rRNA
Rfam family: Bacterial small subunit ribosomal RNA
Source: RNAcentral
ACGCGCGGAACCUUACCAGGUCUUGACAUCCUCUGACACUCCUAGAGAUAGGACGUUCCCCUUCGGGGGACAGAGUGACAGGUGGUGCAUGGUUGUCGUCAGCUCGUGUCGUGAGAUGUUGGGUUAAGUCCCGCAACGAGCGCAACCCUUGAUCUUAGUUGCCAGCAUUUAGUUGGGCACUCUAAGGUGACUGCCGGUGACAAACCGGAGGAAGGUGGGGAUGACGUCAAAUCAUCAUGCCCCUUAUGACCUGGGCUACACACGUACUACAAUGGCCAGUACAACGGGAAGCGAGGCCGCGAGGUGGAGCCAAUCCUAAAAAGCUGGUCUCAGUUCGGAUUGCAGGCUGCAACUCGCCUGCAUGAAGUCGGAAUUGCUAGUAAUCGCGGAUCAGCAUGCCGCGGUGAAUACGUUCCCGGGUCUUGUACACACCGCCCGU